RNAcentral lists this ribosomal RNA (468 nucleotides) under uncultured bacterium. RNAcentral describes it as "partial 16S ribosomal RNA". It matches the Rfam family "Bacterial small subunit ribosomal RNA", at positions 28 to 507 of the family's 1533-position model. The record is from RNAcentral.
GACGAACGCUGGCGGCGUGCUUAACACAUGCGAGUCGAACGGAAAGGCCCUGCUUUUGUGGGGUGCUCGAGUGGCGAACGGGUGAGUAACACGUGAGUAACCUGCCCUUGACUUUGGGAUAACUUCAGGAAACUGGGGCUAAUACCGGAUAGGAGCUCCUGCUGCAUGGUGGGGGUUGGAAAGUUUCGGCGGUUGGGGAUGGACUCGCGGCUUAUCAGCUUGUUGGUGGGGUAGUGGCUUACCAAGGCUUUGACGGGUAGCCGGCCUGAGAGGGUGACCGGCCACAUUGGGACUGAGAUACGGCCCAGACUCCUACGGGAGGCAGCAGUGGGGAAUAUUGCACAAUGGGCGGAAGCCUGAUGCAGCAACGCCGCGUGCGGGAUGACGGCCUUCGGGUUGUAAACCGCUUUCGCCUGAGACGAAGCGUGAGUGACGGUAAUGGGUAAAGAAGCACCGGCUAACUACGUG